This is an RNA transcript of Raphanus sativus (radish), 506 nucleotides long. RefSeq lists it as uncharacterized. The record is from RefSeq and is a predicted model, not a curated record. The transcript is spliced from 3 exons. Lineage: Eukaryota; Viridiplantae; Streptophyta; Magnoliopsida; Brassicales; Brassicaceae.
AAAAUGGAACCCGAGAACUGCAGGCCCAAGAGAGUGAAACCCUACUCCAAAGCCCUCCCAUCUCUUAUAAAAGGGACAUCACUCCUAGGGUUUCACCACAAGAGAGACAACAAGCGAAGCCCUGCCCGACUAGAACCUCGCCGCCGCCUCCCAUCGUCGACGACCAGCCGCCGCCGCCGGUCACCGCCGCCCGCUCGCCAGCCACCGAUCGUCCCGCUCGCAGCCCGAGCCGUCGAUCCCGAGCCCCCAGUCGUCGCCUCCUUGAUUCCUUCUCUUGUAACCUUCUCAGAUCUGAACCUCAAGAUCCGGAGAGGUGACCAACUCGUUUCCACUUCCUAGAACCAGAUCUACCCCUUCAAGAGACUAAGGUACGGCUGGGAGGGAGCAGGAGUAGGAGUCCGUAUGGUGCCAGUUGUUUUUCAAGUUCUUUUACUUUUCGAACUAUUUCCAUUUGAGUUUUUUUUUCGUCUUUGGAUAACCUAUCCUCGAGUUAAGUUUCGGUUUUG